Long non-coding RNA from Harmonia axyridis, 508 nucleotides. RefSeq lists it as uncharacterized. Lineage: Eukaryota; Metazoa; Arthropoda; Insecta; Coleoptera; Coccinellidae. The record is from RefSeq and is a predicted model, not a curated record. The transcript has 4 exons.
AUUUAAUUGUGUGAAGGCACUGAAUCGGUAUGUGUUCAUUUCUCAAUAAUGCACUUCAAGCUGUCAAUAAUGACGAAUUCAAAGUAAAAUGUUGAUGUUUCAAUGUGAACAAGUUAUUAUCGGUACGCUUUCCAUUUUAAUAGGCUUCUCAGACAUUCUCAAUGAAAUGAACUAUCACCUAAAAAAAUAUAUUUGGUUGACAUGAAUUUCCUAAUGGUUUUUGGUGAAUCACUCUCUUUUCACAGAUUGGGAGAGGUGCUAUCAAAACAUCAUCAUAUUCCUCAUGAAAGAGAAAAACGAGAAAGAAAAAACUGUGAGAGAACUUCUGGGCACUGUCAGUGAAAAUGUACGAGAUGCUUCAAUUAUUAGGAGCUUAUUUGGUGCCUACGAUGGAUGCCAUUACUAGACAAAUAACACAACCAAAUAUAGAAUUGAAGAUUCUCAGGGAUGAUUCCUGUUUGUUGGAAGGUAGAUUCAGGAAGUGGAAGAUCAUAUAGAGUAUUGGAAA